RNAcentral lists this unclassified non-coding RNA (2051 nucleotides) under Hevea brasiliensis (rubber tree). Lineage: Eukaryota; Viridiplantae; Streptophyta; Magnoliopsida; Malpighiales; Euphorbiaceae. The record is from RNAcentral.
CGGUACUAAAACCGCUACCCUCCACUCUUUCCCUCGUUUUCUCCCUCCUCACUCGCCAAUUCCAGCCUCUCACUCACUCUCUAGAUUUUUUCAAUAUCAUUUUAGCAGUUUCUUUCAAAUCCUACAAAUACCCAUGUUCUUCUUUGGGCUUUUGUAGAACCAUGGCCGACUUUGAUACUUCUCUGUCUACUCUUUUGUGUCAAGAAGAUGAUGCUUCUUGUUUCAAUCUAAGUGAAGAUGACUAUACUUGUUGUUACGACUCCAACUUUGAGUCUUGUUUUGUUUUAGAGAGUGAAGAGAUUGAAUACAUUGAGAAAAUGGUUGAAAGGGAGAGGAGUUCAGGAUCUAGAACUUAUAUAAUGUCUUCUGGGGAUUGUUUAACCACCAGUUUUAACUGGUUAAAAUGUGCACGAUUGGAUGCCGUUGAAUGGAUUUUCAAUGUCUGUAAUUGUUUUCCCUUUUUCAUGUUUUUGGGUUCUUUCCCUUCUCUGUUUUUUUUAUUCAUGUGUUUUUCUGCUUUUCUUGUAUUCUGAUUUAGACACGAGCAAUCUUUGGAUUUCGGUUUCACACAGCUUAUCUUUCAGUGAUUUACUUUGACCGGUUUCUCUCAAAAAGAUCCAUUGAUGAUGGGAAAUUGUGGGCUAUUCGAUUACUGUCUCUGGCUUGUUUGUCAUUGGCUGCAAAGAUGGAGGAGUGCAGAGUUCCUCCCUUAUCAGAGUUUCCGGUGGAAGAUUAUUGCUUUGAAAAUAAAGUGAUUCAAAGAAUGGAGUUGCUGGUAUUGAAUACCUUGGAGUGGAAAAUGGGUUCAACCACUCCUUUUUCUUAUCUACAUUACUUCAUCAGUAAAAUCUGUGGUGAAUCCAGACCAAAGGAAACAAUCUCUAGAGCUGUGGAACUUAUUCUGGCACUGAUAAAAGAGAUUAAUUUGUUGGAUUAUCAACCAUCCAUUGUCGCAGCGGCUGCAUUAUUAGCUGCAUCUGAUAAUCAAUUAACAAGACAAGAAUUGGAGCUCAAGAUGAAAGUAAUUUCAUCAUGGGGUUCUCUGGAAAGUGUGAGAAUUCUUUACUUUAAAAUAUAUAAUUUUAUUUUAGAUUAUAGAAUUAAAAAAAAAAAGUUCUCAUCUUUUUGAAUUAAAGAACAGAAGAGAUAAUGACGUUGGUUAUUAAUUAAUUUUCAUCUCCUAUUUCACUGCAACAGGAGCAUAUAUUUUCCUGUUAUAUUGUAAUGCAGGAAAUAGAAAUGGGAAAACUUAAGACACCAAAGCAAUUUCUUUCUCCUAGUACAUCAUCAAUCCAUUCUAGUUCAAUUGCUGCUGUUGAGAAUUCUUGCUUCACUUCCUCUGGAGCUGGCACUAAAAGAAGACUCACAUACAGCGACUGUGAUCAAAAUUGUCCGGUAAAGAAAAUAUGUCGUCAUAAUCAGUGAAUUUGAUACUACUUAAGGGGAACUGAAUUGGGUUCAUUGGUUGGAAUAUAGGAUUAUCAUUAUUGCUGUUUUCUUUCUAUGAAAACUGAUCAUUACUACUUAAGUUGGAUUAUAGGUCUAAUGAAUGUUGUUAUAUGGCAAUUAUGGAAUGAUUUUGGAGUUGAUGAUUGGGGUUCCAUUUUCCAAUACCCAACAAAAAGUUCCAGCCAAGUGACAACCCAAGAAGAGGAUAGAGAAAAAAGGGAAAGUAAAUAAAUAAGAAAGGGAUAGCUUUAACCAACAGUAAGAAGAAGUAAAGAAGCUGACUCAAGUUCAAAACCCAUUAAGGUGGAAGAAAGGCCAAGAGAGAAUGCCAGAAGGCCACUGAAGACUCUGUCUAUAGCAUUCUUUGUAUUGUUUCCUUUGAUGAAUAUCCCACUGUUGCUUGCCACUUUUUCCCCCCUUCAAGAACUUGUAUUUCUUUAUCAUCUUUCUUUUUCCUUUUAUUUUAUUUUCAAAAUUUUGUAACAAAGAUAUAUGUGUUGAUCUAUACAUCCAUUGCCACCCUAGCUUUUGAGGAGGGGGGUCUUGGGAUGCUUCUUAUGUCUUUCAAAAAGGCUGAAGACCAUGAGGAAUGAAGAAUUGAU